RNAcentral lists this long non-coding RNA (665 nucleotides) under Equus caballus (horse). RNAcentral's name for it is "lncRNA (ENSECAG00000048587.1)". Lineage: Eukaryota; Metazoa; Chordata; Mammalia; Perissodactyla; Equidae. The record is from RNAcentral.
UCAAAUAGCUGCAAAUAUUAAAGGAUGUGACCAGCUGUAUAGGAGGAUUUUAUUCUUUCCAUGGUUUACUUGACAUGGGGCACUGACUCUCAGGCUUCUCCCACCUCAACCCCCAGCUUUGCACUGGAAAGAACAGGCAACAUCACUGCCGGAAGCCAGGAGAUGUGUUUAAAUCACUCUCCACAGCACACCUUCUGUGAAUCAAGAUACCGCUUCACAACUUCAUUAACACGAGAAGCAGCCAUGUCGACAAAUGUGAAUGAUGUGAUUGUUGAAAACAAAUCCUCUUCUCUUUCAGAUUUUAUUACCUUCAUUUAUCAGAUAAUGAGGAGGAUCAAUUUCCUGGUUCUUGCUUCACAAAUUUAGGAGGAAGAAAAACUUUCCUAACACAGAGUGCAUAAAUCCCACAGGACCUUCGUGGAAAGAAGAGGACAUCAGACCAUACAGUAGAAAUCAGCUUCUUCUGGAUCUUAUGGCCAUCAUAACACCUGGACACCCUGUCACUCCUCAGCUCCAAAACAGACACAUAUCUAUUGCUGAUAUCUUGCAUUCCUAUGCCCUGUUUGAAUAUGCCAAACGUUGCCUGGGUGUAUGCCUGUAAAUUCUUACAAGGAUUGAAGAGAUUGUUUUAUUAACACUGAUUUCCAGGAGAAAAUUUUCCAUCU